Long non-coding RNA from Lemur catta (Ring-tailed lemur), 380 nucleotides. RefSeq lists it as uncharacterized. NCBI's taxonomy places the organism in Eukaryota, Metazoa, Chordata, Mammalia, Primates, Lemuridae. The transcript has 2 exons. The record is from RefSeq and is a predicted model, not a curated record.
AAAACUCAGUAUACUGUCCAGAAUAUCCUGACCUUUCUCAUGAAGCUUUCACCCCGCCUGAAUGCUGGUAGUCACCGCCAAGAAAUGAAACUACUAAUACUCUGCCGUUGGCGUUUAAAAUAACCUGGGUAUACGUUAAGAAUAUAUUUCCUAUCUUCCCGUGAAGUCAGUAAUUGUCAUAGACAUCUCCUGCAUAAGACUUCACUCUUCACAGAUAGCCUCAAAUAACUCAGGGGAGAAUUCCUUAGUCCUUGGGGUUAAUGGAGCCACAAAAUGGAAGAGGUCUAGAAUCAUCACAUGGAAGACUGCCUGCUAAGUAGUACGUUGAACUGUCAAAUGAAGGAGAAAUAAAAUUCUUAUGUUGGGGGUUGUUAUUGUAA